CCCACAUCCUCGUCUCCACGCCGCCUCCUUUUCCAUCGCCUGACUCAGACACGUCUCCUCCUCUUCCCUUGCUCCCAGCGUGCACUGUCCUUCCGUCUCCUCGCUGGACCACCGCCUACUCCUGCCCCCGCCCCCGUCCCCGCCAGUCUCCCCAGCCCUCGUCCUCGUCUUCAUCUCCUCGCCUAUGCAAGCGAGCAGGUGCUGGUGGUGGUUUGAUCUGUCGUGGGGGAGGCGGCAGGCUCGGCUUGAUGGUGGAAAUAAUAAAUCCAGGUCAAGGAGAAGUGCUUCCGCUUCAUUCCUAUGUUGCUUCCUUUGAUUCAGCUGCUCGGCCUUGCUCGCUCUACUGCAGCGAUGGAUUCCAUCGCCGCACAUGCCGGUUGACGAGGAGGAGCUGCGGCGUGGUCGGAGAACUGACUGCAUCUACUACCUCGCCUCCCCGUUGACCUGCAAGAAGGUACACAACGAUGAUGAGGUCAGAGCCUUGUUUAAGCAAGUGCAAGGAGAAGUUCCUGGAUCUCCUAUAUUUAUUAUGAAAGUGGCAUCUCAGAGCCAACAUCUAGAGGUUCAAUUGCUCUGUAACAAGCAUGACAACGUGGCAGCACUGGACAGUCGAGACUGUAGUGUUCAAAGAAGGCACCAAAAGGUUCGUUAUUCUCCUGAAACAUUGUGUUGUUCAAUAUCAGUUUUGUUGGAAUUAGUCUGAGCCAAACAUUUGUGUCCUGAGUAUUGGUAGAAGUUCUACAGCUUCAAGGAAUUACAACUUCAUUGGACGAUGUAGCAAAGUGCAAAAUGUUGCACGAGUUAUACAAAAUUUAAGUCUUAGGAUUUUCUCCAAUGCAAUCGUUUAUUUUUGUCAGUUAUACUUAUACUGUACUAAAAUAGUUGAAUGUUGCAUUUCAAAUUCAAGAACAAACCUUUUCUUCCUGUAUUGAUAUAUGUGUCGGGACGUCGGCCUCUCUCUCCCUGAGCUAGCGCGCUGCCGAACGGCAGGGCCCGUCCAUUCGGUUUCGAUCUGAUCGGGGGCUUCCUUAUCCUUUGGCUUACGAUUCGAGGUGCGCUCGUGCGUGCGCACGAUUUCGUCUUGAUUUCUGGUGAGUGACUGAGAUCUGCUCUGCUCUGCUCGGUGCCGGAAAACUCAAGGUUUCAAUCGAGGUCAGUUCGUUCGUUCGUUCGAUAGAAGCUGAUUCAGUUGAGCCCUUAUAUUGCUGUUGCGGCUUCCAAUAAUUGAUGCGUAACAGUUCUGAGACACACAUACUGAUGCUACUUCAUGCAAUCAACCAGCUAAGCUAAGUUAAAGUUUGGUCUUCCAAAUGGAUACUAGCACCACCAAACAUUAGGGAUUCACUUUAGCUAUAUCAUCCUUAGUAGAUUCUCUGCUUAGUAUUUGCACCUCUUCAUCUCAAACUUGCUAAUUCUGUUUAUGGCUCGCAUUCGUUCUCUUUUCUUUGGGACAUGGGUAUCGAUGUUAGUAUUUUCUAUCAUUAUCUGAACCUUGGUAGGCUGAUGGUUGAUUUUAUACUCCCUUCUGUAUAUAGCCCCUUUUGCAAUCUGAGUUUAUUAUUUCAUAUGUGUUCAUCAAAUUCAGCCUCUGGGUGGCAGGAUUAGCCCAUUUAAAUCAGUCUCUGCGCAAACAUAAGUCGCUGCUAUCCAAAAACCUGUAGAACUAGCUUGCUGUGUAUUUAUUUUAACUCACAUAUACAAGGGGUAAAUAAGCACGAAUCGAAAAAGAACACCUAAGAUUUCUUUAAUUGUGCUCAUUUUUACAUUAGUAGACAGAAUUACAUAAGUUUGCCUCUACCACUAUUGAUAUCAGCGAUGAAAUUUAGCUGCUUUUUAGUUCUAGGCUGAAAAUGAUGCUGAAGUUCUAAACAUUCUGUUUGACUGAAUUUUUUCUUGAUGUGCAGCUGAAUUAGGGAAGGAUGCCGAAGUUACAUGUACACAACCCUUAUAUUCUACUCCCUUCGUUCCAAAUUACUUGUCACAGAUCGCUCGCUGAAGUUAUUCGCCUUUGGUUACCCCAGGGGGAAAUUUUCAAGCUUGCUUCACGGGCAGUAGCUCCUCCUUCCCCAACCCCACUUUGUCUCCCCUGUGAUUUGCCUGUUCCUGAUCUUGGUGGCUGGCAUGUCUCAAAUUCUCAUUGGGCAGGGCUACUAACGUAAUGGAGCAAACUGGAAAUUCCACCUGCAUAUUUUAGGGUUCUUGCGGAUCAUGCUGGUCACUCCGGGGCAUUGGAGUGGGCCAACUUCCUAACGACGGGCAAGAUGGAGCUGAUCGGCUGCUUGGCAGCGACCAUGAGGCGAGGCGUGGUGCCAGCUGCAGCGGGUGCAGGAAGCAACAACAUAUAAAGAUGGGCGCCGAGGUACACCGUUCACUCCCUCAAAAAGGAAGAAUCAACGUAGUAGCUAGCAUUCAAUUUUAGAUGCUAUGUAUUUCUGAUUCUUUUUGGCAGUAGAGAGCUAUGUAUCUCUGGUUAUCAUUUUACCUGUUGGACGUGCUUCUAGGACGUGCUUCUAAUCCACUCUGCAAGAAUAUGACCUCUCUAUGUUAAUAUAGACCUACCACUAAACGGUUUGCUGCUGCA
This is a non-coding RNA of Triticum urartu, 2581 nucleotides long. Lineage: Eukaryota; Viridiplantae; Streptophyta; Magnoliopsida; Poales; Poaceae. The record is from RefSeq and is a predicted model, not a curated record.